UCAACGCUGGCGGCGUGCCUAAUACAUGCAAGUCGUACGCGAAGACCCCGCAAGGGGUUGUUAGCGUGGCAAACGGGUGAGUAACGCGUGGGCGACCUGCCCUCGAGUGGGGGAUAACCUUCCGAAAGGAGGGCUAAUACCGCAUGACAUACCGUGUUUGGAUACACGGAUAUCAAAGCCGGGGAUCGCAAGACCUGGCGCUUGAGGAGGGGCCUACGUUCGAUUAGCUAGUUGGUGGGGUAACGGCCUACCAAGGCGACGAUCAGUAGCUGGUCUGAGAGGAUGAUCAGCCACACUGGGACUGAGACACGGCCCAGACUCCUACGGGAGGCAGCAGUGAGGAAUUUUCCGCAAUGGGCGAAAGCCUGACGGAGCAAUGCCGCGUGAAGGAUGAAGGCCUGUG
This 403-nucleotide ribosomal RNA is filed under the name uncultured bacterium. RNAcentral's name for it is "bacterial SSU rRNA". It matches the Rfam family "Bacterial small subunit ribosomal RNA", at positions 32 to 420 of the family's 1533-position model. The record is from RNAcentral.